RNAcentral lists this long non-coding RNA (624 nucleotides) under Pan troglodytes (chimpanzee). RNAcentral's name for it is "long non-coding RNA NONPTRT000850". The record is from RNAcentral. Lineage: Eukaryota; Metazoa; Chordata; Mammalia; Primates; Hominidae.
AAAAUGUGGAGCCUGAUACGGUUUGGAUUUGUGGCCCUGCCCAAAUCUCAUGUCAAAUUAUAAUCCCCAAUGUUGGAAGAUGGGCCUGGCGGGAGGUGAUUGGAUCAUGGGGGCAAACUUCCCCCUUGCUGUUCUCGUGAUAGUGAGUGAGUUCUCGUGAGAUCUGGUUGUUUGAAAGUGUGCAGCACCUCCCCCUUCGCUCUCUUUUCCUCCCGCUCCAGUCACGUGGGACGUGUCUGCUUCCCCUCCGCCUUCCGCCAUGAUUCUCUGGAGGUCAGAAGUCCAAAAUCUGGGUGUCAGCAGAUCCACGCUCCCUUUGAAGACUGUAGGACAGACUCCUUCCUUGCUUCUUCUGGUAUCGGUGACUUGUUGGCCUGUGGUUGCUUCACUCCAAUCUCUGCCUCUGUCUUCUCAUGGCCGUCUCCCCUGUGUCUGUGUCUCAAAUCUGCCUCUACCUUUUUCUCAUAAGGACACCUGUCAGUGGAGCUAGAGUCCAUCCUCAAUCCAGGAUGAUCUCAAGAUCCUUCAUUACAUCUGCAAAGACCCAUUCUCGAAAUAUGGUCCCUUUCUCAUGUUCUGGGGGUUAGGACUUGGACAUCACUUUUGGGAGCCACGAUUCAACCC